RNAcentral lists this long non-coding RNA (236 nucleotides) under Vitis vinifera (wine grape). Its description in RNAcentral is "long non-coding RNA (VVIN_LNC004987)". Lineage: Eukaryota; Viridiplantae; Streptophyta; Magnoliopsida; Vitales; Vitaceae. The record is from RNAcentral.
GCAAAUUGCAGUUACAGUGAUCAGCAGUUCUACUUUUAUAGAGGAGGUCAUCCUAGGCAACCUUGGACAGUAAAGAAGUUCUUCAAUAGAGAAAUGUCUUGCUGGUUGUUGUCCAUCUUGACGAUGAGUCUAUGUUCUUCUCUCCAACAAUAACUUUCCUGAAUUAAAGGAGGCAUGAUCUUCAUUUUUUUUAAUUUUUUUUUAUGCAUGUCAACUGGCAAUGCAGACAGCAUGGG